AGGGAGCAAGAGAAGAAAGUGUCCACCUUGUUCGGCAUUUCUAUAAGGGAGAAGAGAUUUUUUUGGACAUGUUUGAAGACGAGUACAGGAGCAUGACAAUGAAGCCCAUGAAUGUGGAAUAUCUCAUGAUGGACGCCUCCAUCCUCCUGCCUCCAACGGGCACACCACUGACAGGCAUUGACUUCGUGAAGCGACUGCCAUGUGGUGACGUGGAGAAGACCCGGAGGG
Molecule: long non-coding RNA, 228 nt
Organism: Nannospalax galili (Upper Galilee mountains blind mole rat)
Lineage: Eukaryota; Metazoa; Chordata; Mammalia; Rodentia; Spalacidae
Exons: 3
Source: RefSeq, a predicted model, not a curated record